RNAcentral lists this long non-coding RNA (1213 nucleotides) under Lathyrus oleraceus (garden pea). RNAcentral's name for it is "Pisum sativum (pea) long non-coding RNA (PSAT_LNC014503)". Lineage: Eukaryota; Viridiplantae; Streptophyta; Magnoliopsida; Fabales; Fabaceae. The record is from RNAcentral.
AAUCAAAAAAGAUUCGAAUAAUGAUCCAAAUAUUUACAUAAUUAUCCAAGAAAAGGAUUUUAAUUUGAAAUUAUACAUAACAAUCCAAAAGUUCUGUUACAUCAAUUGAAUUUGAGGAAAAGUAGAAAACAUUGUAAAUCCAACCGUUUGAAGCAGCAAGCUUCAAAGACCUUGCCAAAGAAGCUCUUCUUGUAGCGCCCCCAAUUCCAAAAGCAAGUGCAAGCCCCCUUUUCAAUCAAUGUCCAUUCACCUUUUACAAACCUGCAAAACCAAUUCAAAAUUAAAAAAAGCUUAUCAAAUAAGCACUUAUAAAAAACUGAAAAAUAAUUAAUAGAACAAGCAGAUUAAUAUGUUGCACAGUAAACCAAGGUGAACGCUCAAGAACACGUUCCAAUGUCCAAAUCAAACCACCUUAAAUCCACAAGGUAAACAUCCCAAAAAAUUUGGAAAAAGGAUAACUUAACAAGUUAUCUCAGAACCUCAGUAUUCAUCACAUAUAUAACAACAACAAAUUAACAGUAAUAAGGACACGUUUUCGAAAUCCAAAAAUAAAUUAUCAAAAUAUUUUUCCGUAACAUAAACCCCUAAACAACAGAAACACAGUUUUUUGGUGGAGAGAAAUAAAAAAAGAGAAGUUAUCAAAAAUAUAUUUUAACAUCAAACCCUAACAUUCAAACCAAGCAACAACAACAUUCAAAACAAAAAAUAAAGGAAAACGAAAAAUAGAAGAAGACGGAGGAUUUAUCUUAAACGGUGGGGAGCGUCGCCGGAGUUUGACUUCAAACAUGUACGCCUUCCAUUCUCGUUCAUCUUUCUGCGCCAUCGUCUUCGCCUCUUCAUGUGGAUUGAAACCCCUUUCCUAAUUUCUUCAAAUCGUGACUUCAGAGGAGCGAAUGUCACAAAUUAGGGUUUAGGUUUUACUCUUUCUUUUGGUACCGAUCCGGAUGUUUGAGAGGGAGUUUGAAUAAAGGGAGGUCGGAUUUGAAAUCACCGGCCAAAAUAAGGUGGGGUAUGUGUUUUGUUUUUUAGGGUUAGGGUUGGGGGUCACCGGAGAAGAGGGCGGCGCCGCCACGGUUGACCGGCUGCCACCGUCUUCUCCGGCAGGUUUGGCCGUGAGGGGUGGUGACGGAAAGAGAAGAAGUUGCAGAGCAACUUUGUGGACGAAAGUGAAGAGAGAGAAUGGUUCUCUCUCUCUCUCUCUCUCAAGUUUUUG